GACAGAGGGUGCAAACGUUGCUCGGAAUCACUGGGCGUAAAGGGCGUGUAGGCGGGAAGGCUAGUCAGAUGUGAAAUCCCUGGGCUCAACCCAGGAACUGCAUUUGAAACUCCCUUUCUUGAGUGCUGGAGAGGAAGGCGGAAUUCCUGGUGUAGAGGUGAAAUUCGUAGAUAUCAGGAGGAACACCGGUGGCGAAGGCGGCCUUCUGGACAGUAACUGACGCUGAGACGCGAAAGCGUGGGGAGCGAACAGG
Molecule: ribosomal RNA, 253 nt
Filed under: uncultured bacterium
Lineage: Bacteria
Description: partial 16S ribosomal RNA
Rfam family: Bacterial small subunit ribosomal RNA
Source: RNAcentral